AGUGGCGAACGGGUGAGUAACACGUGAGUAACCUGCCCCUGACUCUGGGAUAAGCGUUGGAAACGACGUCUAAUACUGGAUAUGAUCACUGGCCGCAUGGUCUGGUGGUGGAAAGAUUUUUUGGUUGGGGAUGGACUCGCGGCCUAUCAGCUUGUUGGUGAGGUAAUGGCUCACCAAGGCGACGACGGGUAGCCGGCCUGAGAGGGUGACCGGCCACACUGGGACUGAGACACGGCCCAGACUCCUACGGGAGGCAGCAGUGGGGAAUAUUGCACAAUGGGCGAAAGCCUGAUGCAGCAACGCCGCGUGAGGGAUGACGGCCUUCGGGUUGUAAACCUCUUUUAGUAGGGAAGAAGCGAAAGUGACGGUACCUGCAGAAAAAGCACCGGCUAACUACGUGCCAGCAGCCGCGGUAAUACGUAGGGUGCAAGCGUUGUCCGGAAUUAUUGGGCGUAAAGAGCUCGUAGGCGGUUUGUCGCGUCUGCUGUGAAAUCCCGAGGCUCAACCUCGGGCUUGCAGUGGGUACGGGCAGACUAGAGUGCGGUAGGGGGAGAUUGGAAUUCCUGGUGUAGCGGUGGAAUGCGCAGAUAUCAGGAGGAACACCGAUGGCGAAGGCAGAUCUCUGGGCCGUAACUGACGCUGAGGAGCGAAAGCAUGGGGAGCGAACAGGAUUAGAUACCCUGGUAGUCCAUGCCGUAAACGUUGGGCGCUAGAUGUAGGGACCUUUCCACGGUUUCUGUGUCGUAGCUAACGCAUUAAGCGCCCCGCCUGGGGAGUACGGCCGCAAGGCUAAAACUCAAAGGAAUUGACGGGGGCCCGCACAAGCGGCGGAGCAUGCGGAUUAAUUCGAUGCAACGCGAAGAACCUUACCAAGGCUUGACAUACACCGGAAACGGCCAGAGAUGGUCGCCCCCUUGUGGUCGGUGUACAGGUGGUGCAUGGUUGUCGUCAGCUCGUGUCGUGAGAUGUUGGGUUAAGUCCCGCAACGAGCGCAACCCUCGUUCUAUGUUGCCAGCGGGUUAUGCCGGGGACUCAUAGGAGACUGCCGGAGUCAACUCGGAGGAAGGUGGGGAUGACGUCAAAUCAUCAUGCCCCUUAUGUCUUGGGCUUCACGCAUGCUACAAUGGCCGGUACAAAGGGCUGCGAUACCGUAAGGUGGAGCGAAUCCCAAAAAGCCGGUCUCAGUUCGGAUUGAGGUCUGCAACUCGACCUCAUGAAGUCGGAGUCGCUAGUAAUCGCAGAUCAGCAACGCUGCGGUGAAUACGUUCCCGGGCCUUGUACACACCGCCCGUCAAGUCAUGAAAGUCGGGACACCCGAAGCCGGUG
This 1326-nucleotide ribosomal RNA is filed under the name Curtobacterium flaccumfaciens. RNAcentral's name for it is "bacterial SSU rRNA". It matches the Rfam family "Bacterial small subunit ribosomal RNA", at positions 94 to 1432 of the family's 1533-position model. Lineage: Bacteria; Bacillati; Actinomycetota; Actinomycetes; Micrococcales; Microbacteriaceae. The record is from RNAcentral. RNAcentral also lists the same sequence under 1 other name.